GUUUGUUUAAUGAUCCGUCUUCUGCAGUAGUGAGGGUGUUGUGUCAUCCUAGGACAACCUUUUGGACUGGUGAAAAUAUAUUUAUGGACUGGUGAUUGGGAAUCACUACUUAGAAGAUAAAAAUAUGAUCUUCAUUUCUAAUCAUUUAUAAUUUUGUUGAAUAUUUUUAUUUUUUUCAAUCUAGAACUUAUGUUUAAAUCUGUUUUAAAAGUUUCAAAUAAAACUGUAGUUUCCUCCACGUUGAAGGAAGCUUCAAA
RNAcentral lists this long non-coding RNA (257 nucleotides) under Pongo abelii (Sumatran orangutan). RNAcentral describes it as "lincRNA". Lineage: Eukaryota; Metazoa; Chordata; Mammalia; Primates; Hominidae. The record is from RNAcentral.